GACACAUCCUCAUCUCGGAUUUCAUACUCGAAGGUGGAUCUAAUCAACGAAGUAGUACUACUAAUCUCUACAAUCUGGAAACGGUAUAAACACCUGACAAAUCCUAGCUCUAAAUUCCCACCUUCGAUCAACUCCACUUCCUUCACACGUUGCUCAUUGUCGAUCUUGAUGAACUUCUCCCUCUGGAAACCUGGACCGGGUGCACCGGGAGCAAGUGUGGCGUAGAGAAUAGUGCCGACUCCACCGUUGCCUUCUUCAACCUUAAUGUCCGCA
Molecule: unclassified non-coding RNA, 273 nt
Filed under: Hevea brasiliensis (rubber tree)
Lineage: Eukaryota; Viridiplantae; Streptophyta; Magnoliopsida; Malpighiales; Euphorbiaceae
Source: RNAcentral